RNAcentral lists this ribosomal RNA (253 nucleotides) under uncultured bacterium. Its description in RNAcentral is "partial 16S ribosomal RNA". It matches the Rfam family "Bacterial small subunit ribosomal RNA", at positions 524 to 776 of the family's 1533-position model. The record is from RNAcentral.
UACGUAGGGUGCAAGCGUUAAUCGGAAUUACUGGGCGUAAAGCGUGCGCAGGCGGUUAUAUAAGACAGGUGUGAAAUCCCCGGGCUCAACCUGGGAACUGCAUUUGUGACUGUAUAGCUAGAGUACGGUAGAGGGGGAUGGAAUUCCGCGUGUAGCAGUGAAAUGCGUAGAUAUGCGGAGGAACACCGAUGGCGAAGGCAAUCCCCUGGACCUGUACUGACGCUCAUGCACGAAAGCGUGGGGAGCAAACAGG